GAUGAACGCUGGCGGCGUGCCUAAUACAUGCAAGUCGAGCGAACAGACGAGGAGCUUGCUCCUCUGACGUUAGCGGCGGACGGGUGAGUAACACGUGGAUAACCUACCUAUCAGACUGGGAUAACUUCGGGAAACCGGAUCUAAUACCGGAUAAUAUAUUGAACCGCAUGGUUCAAUAGUGAAAUACGGUUUUGCUGUCACUUAUAGAUGGAUCCGCGCCGCAUUAGCUAGUUGGUAAGGUAACGGCUUACCAAGGCAACGAUGCGUAGCCGACCUGAGAGGGUGAUCGGCCACACGGGAACUGAGACACGGUCCAGACUCCUACGGGAGGCAGCAGUAGGGAAUCUUCCGCAAUGGGCGAAAGCCUGACGGAGCAACGCCGCGUGAGUGAUGAAGGUCUUCGGAUCGUAAAACUCUGUUAUUAGGGAAGAACAAAUGUGUAAGUAACUAUGCACGUCUUGACGGUACCUAAUCAGAAAGCCACGGCUAACUACGUG
RNAcentral lists this ribosomal RNA (497 nucleotides) under uncultured bacterium. RNAcentral's name for it is "partial 16S ribosomal RNA". It matches the Rfam family "Bacterial small subunit ribosomal RNA", at positions 28 to 507 of the family's 1533-position model. The record is from RNAcentral.